Molecule: ribosomal RNA, 429 nt
Filed under: uncultured bacterium
Lineage: Bacteria
Description: bacterial SSU rRNA
Rfam family: Bacterial small subunit ribosomal RNA
Source: RNAcentral
AUUGAACGCUGGCGGAAUGCUUUACACAUGCAAGUCGAGCGGCAGCGCGGGGGCAACCCUGGCGGCGAGCGGCGAACGGGUGAGUAACAUAUCGGAACGUACCCCGUCGUGGGGGAUAACACAGCGAAAGCUGUGCUAAUACCGCAUACGACCUGAGGGUGAAAGCGGGGGAUCGCAAGACCUCGCGCGAUGGGAGCGGCCGAUAUCGGAUUAGCUUGUUGGUGAGGUAAAGGCUCACCAAGGCGACGAUCCGUAGCUGGUCUGAGAGGACGACCAGCCACACUGGAACUGAGACACGGUCCAGACUCCUACGGGAGGCAGCAGUGGGGAAUUUUGGACAAUGGGGGGCAACCCUGAUCCAGCCAUUCCGCGUGAGUGAAGAAGGCCUCGGUUGUAAAGGACUCUUUCUAGCAGGAACGAAACGGUAGG